GACGAACGCUGGCGGCGUGCCUAAUACAUGCAAGUAGAACGCUGAAGGAGGAGCUUGCUUCUCCGGAUGAGUUGCGAACGGGUGAGUAACGCGUAGGUAACCUGCCUGGUAGCGGGGGAUAACUAUUGGAAACGAUAGCUAAUACCGCAUAAGAGUAGAUGUUGCAUGACAUUUGCUUAAAAGGUGCAAUUGCAUCACUACCAGAUGGACCUGCGUUGUAUUAGCUAGUUGGUGAGGUAACGGCUCACCAAGGCGACGAUACAUAGCCGACCUGAGAGGGUGAUCGGCCACACUGAGACUGAGACACGGCCCAGACUCAUGCGGGAGGCAGCAGUAGCGAAUCGUGGGCAAUGGCAGGAAGUCUGAGCGAGAAACGCCGAGUGAGUGAAGAGGGUUUUCGGAUCGUAGAGCUCUGUUGUAAGAGAAGAACGAGUGUGAGAGUGGAAAGUUCACACUGUGACGGUAUCUUACCAGAAAGGGACGGCUAACUACGUG
RNAcentral lists this ribosomal RNA (495 nucleotides) under uncultured bacterium. Its description in RNAcentral is "partial 16S ribosomal RNA". It matches the Rfam family "Bacterial small subunit ribosomal RNA", at positions 28 to 507 of the family's 1533-position model. The record is from RNAcentral.